AGAGUUGAUCAUGGCUCAGGAUGAACGCUAGCUACAGGCUUAACACAUGCAAGUCGGAAGGGGAAACGAUAUUGGAAGCUUGCUUCCGAUAGGCGUCGACCGGCGUACGGGUGAGUAACGCGUAUCCAACCUGCCCACCACGUUGGGGAUAACCUUGCGAAAGUAAGACUAAUACCCAAUGACGUCUCUAGAAGACAUCUGAAAGAGAUUAAAGAUUUAUCGGUGAUGGAUGGGGAUGCGUCUGAUUAGCUUGUUGGCGGGGUAACGGCCCACCAAGGCGACGAUCAGUAGGGGUUCUGAGAGGAAGGCCCCCCACAUUGGAACUGAGACACGGUCCAAACUCCUACGGGAGGCAGCA
RNAcentral lists this ribosomal RNA (358 nucleotides) under uncultured bacterium. RNAcentral's name for it is "bacterial SSU rRNA". It matches the Rfam family "Bacterial small subunit ribosomal RNA", at positions 8 to 353 of the family's 1533-position model. The record is from RNAcentral.